GUUAGUGUGUGUAUGUGUAAGGCUGCUGUGUGUGUAAGGGUGCUGUUAGUGUGUGCUGUGUGUGUGUAAGGGUGCUGUGUGUGUGAGGGUGAUGCGUGUAAUGGUACUGUUAGUGUGUGCAUUUGUGAGGGUGUUAGUGUAAGGGUGUUGUUAGUGUGUGCUGUGUGUGUGUAAGGGUGCUGUGUGUGUGAGGGUGCUGUGUGUAAGGGUGCUGUUAGUCUGUGUAUGUGUAAGGGUGCUGUGUGUGUAAGGGUGCUGUUAGUGUGUGCUGUGUGUAUGUGUGAGGGUGCUGUGUGUGUAAGGGUAUUGUUAGUGUGAGGGUGCUGUUAGUGUGUGUGCUGUGUGUGUAAGGGUGAUGUAUGUGUGUGCUGUAUGUUUGUGUGUAAUGUGUGGGGGCUGUUUAGUUAAUAUCCCCCCUCCCUUCUUACCUUAUGUAGAGAGACCGUGCUCCUGCCUUCCCUGGUGGUUCACUCUCGCAAGAUCUGAGCGUUGCCGCGUGAACCGCGGCAAUGCUCCGACCGUGCGAGAGGAGCCCGGCGGAGCUGCUGUCAAGAGCUCCCCGGGUCCUCUCCUGCCUCCCUCCCUGCCU
Molecule: non-coding RNA, 589 nt
Organism: Pelobates cultripes (western spadefoot toad)
Lineage: Eukaryota; Metazoa; Chordata; Amphibia; Anura; Pelobatidae
Source: the annotation of a GenBank genome assembly